Rhododendron vialii is the source of this 1108-nucleotide long non-coding RNA. RefSeq lists it as uncharacterized. The record is from RefSeq and is a predicted model, not a curated record. The transcript is spliced from 2 exons. Lineage: Eukaryota; Viridiplantae; Streptophyta; Magnoliopsida; Ericales; Ericaceae.
GUUGAAUAGUAGAUUCUCCAUUUGUGUAAAGCUUUGUUCAAUUUUUUUUUAUCAAUCCAUAUUUUUAUUGGUGGUUGAUUUCGGUAAUUAUGGUUUUUGGGGAAUGCAAACAGCAUCGUAAAAGAAGUGGAGGAUUCCAAUAACUGUAUUUCAAAAGUAGGCUUUCUGACAUGUUUAAGAAUGUGGAUUCCUUUUGUUUGCCUCUCCUCUUUGUCUGAUAAGUUAUUACAAAACAACUUGAAUGAAACUUUAGAGAGGAGUCAUGCUAGCGAAAUAGGCAAGAAGGGAGGAGUGGUGAACAGCUGGUAACGGUUGCCAGAUAGGCGGAAGCACUACGCCUGGAAUCGCUUUGAAUGAAAGGCAUCCAAACUUAACUCAAUUCUUUUAACUAUCUUCCCCAUUUAGGUAUAAUUAAAGACACGUCUUUGUUUUUGUGUCAUACUUGGAGAGUCAUAAUAGUCUUUAUACAUGGGUUUUCCAAAAUGUUAUUUAUGUUCUGUGCCACUAUACACUGUAUUUUAAAAUUCAAAUGGAAAGCUACUUUAUUCUCUCACCACAUUUUCCGACUGUAGCCAAUAGCCAUAGGAAGUAAGAGGAGCUCCCCGUUGGUCUGAAGCUAUCUCAUUCUCGUAAUGUCAUUGCUCUCUUCUUUACAUAAAACACGGUAUAAAGCUAGGUUCUCAUCCCCGGACCUGUGGGUUAUGGACCCACCGUGCUUCCAACUCUGCUUCACAAGUUAAUGAAUUCAAGUUCUUUCAAAUUGGAUUUCAGUGUUUUGUUACUAUUAUGGAUUACUUUUUAGCGUUACCUGAAUUCAUUUCAUGGAAACCCAUUCUGAGUUGUGCACUAUAUUUUGUGUUGAAAUUCAAAACCAGUAAUAUGUGCAUGUUCACAUACUGCGCAGUCAUAAUGCCAGAGUUUUUGUUUGAACUUUCUUUCUUUGGUUCUUUGUAAGCAUUUUGGGAAAGUGACGACAUUUAGUUCAUUCAAGGGUACCCCUCCAAGUGGCUCUAUUUCAUUGUAUUCUAUCCUGAUCAAUUCCAUUGAUUUACUACCCCUUUGGUGUCAUCUGACAUAACAGAUAUGGUUUCUGAGAAAGUUUAAAUAU